Molecule: ribosomal RNA, 466 nt
Filed under: uncultured bacterium
Lineage: Bacteria
Description: partial 16S ribosomal RNA
Rfam family: Bacterial small subunit ribosomal RNA
Source: RNAcentral
GAUGAACGCUGGCGGCGUGCUUAACACAUGCAAGUCGAACGGAAAGGCUCCUGCUUGCCGGGGUACUCGAGUGGCGAACGGGUGAGUAACACGUGGGUGAUCUGCCCUGCACUUCGGGAUAAGCCUGGGAAACUGGGUCUCAUACCGGAUAGGAUGAUGUUUAGGAUGCCAUUGUGGAAAGUUUUUGCGGUGUGCGAUGAGCUCGCGGCCUAUCAGCUUGUUGGUGGGGUAAUGGCCUACCAAGGCGUCGCCGGGUAGCCGGCCUGAGAGGGUGGACGGCCACAUGCGGACUGAGAUACGCCCCAGACGGCUACCGGAGGCAGCAGUGCCCCCUUUUGCACACUGGGCGCAAGCCUGAUGCACAGACGCCGCGUGGGGGAUGACGGCCUUCGGGGUGACAACUACUUUCGCUAGGGACGAAGCGCAAGUGACGGUACCUGGAGAAGAAGCACCGGCUAACUACGUG